AAGCGGAGGAAAAGAAACCAACAGGGAUUGCCCUAGUAACGGCGAGUGAACAGGCAAGAGCUCAGAUUUGAAAGCCUUUUUGGCAUUGUAUUCUGAAGUCAGUUUCCUGAGUAUCGGUGUUUAAGUCUUCUGGAAAGGAGCGCCAUGGAGGGUGAUAGCCCCGUACGACACCUCACUCAUUGUAGGAUUCUGACGUGGAGUCGAGUUGUUUGGGAAUGCAGCUCAAAAGGGUGGUAUGCUCCAUCUAAAGCUAAAUAUCUGUGAGAGACCGAUAGCGAACAAGUACUGUGAAGGAAAGAUGAAAAGAACUUUGAAAAGAGAGUGAAAAAGUACGUGAAAUUGUUGAAAUGGAAGGAUAUGCCGCUAACAAUGUAGAGCCGUGUUUGGGGGGAAGACAAAAGCUGAAGAAUGUAUCUCUUUUAGGGAAUUAUAACUUCAGUCAAUAUUCCCAUCCGGGCGCGAGGACCUCAGGCUCUACUAAAUGGUGGUCUAUCACCCGUCUUG
This 504-nucleotide ribosomal RNA is filed under the name Starmerella etchellsii. Its description in RNAcentral is "partial large subunit ribosomal RNA". It matches the Rfam family "Eukaryotic large subunit ribosomal RNA", at positions 48 to 656 of the family's 3401-position model. Lineage: Eukaryota; Fungi; Ascomycota; Dipodascomycetes; Dipodascales; Trichomonascaceae. The record is from RNAcentral.